CUGAAAACCUAGCUUACUUUAUUCUUAUGAACAUACUACCUUAUUGUAUACUAAAUAAAACAUUUUGUACAUUAAGUAAAGGCGAUUAAAAAAUGUCUUAAAGCUAUAGAAACCAGUACCGCAAGGGAAAAGUGAAAUAUAAAUGAAAAACCUCAAGCACAAAAAAGUAGAGCUAUAACCUCGUACCUUUUGCAUCAUGGUCUAACUAGUUCAACCAAGCAAAAUGAAUUUUAAGUUUGACUUCUCGAAACUAGGUGAGCUACUUAAAAACAGCCUUACGGGCCAACCCGUCUCUGUUGCAAAAGAGUGGGAAGAUUUUUUAAGUAGAGGUGACAGACCUACCGAACCUAGAGAUAGCUGGUUAUUCAGGAAAAGGAUUUAAGUCCUACCUUAAGUUUACUGUACA
This 406-nucleotide ribosomal RNA is filed under the name Microhyla mukhlesuri. RNAcentral's name for it is "partial large subunit ribosomal RNA". The stretch from base 163 to 406 matches the Rfam family "Bacterial large subunit ribosomal RNA", at positions 566 to 897 of the family's 2925-position model. Lineage: Eukaryota; Metazoa; Chordata; Amphibia; Anura; Microhylidae. The record is from RNAcentral.